This 1435-nucleotide ribosomal RNA is filed under the name metagenome. Its description in RNAcentral is "bacterial SSU rRNA". It matches the Rfam family "Bacterial small subunit ribosomal RNA". The record is from RNAcentral.
AGAGUUUGAUCCUAGCUCAGGACGAACGCUGGCGGCGUGGAUAAGGCAUGCAAGUCGAAAGGGUUUAGACCCUUGGCGAACGAGUUAGUAAUACGUAGGUACAUCCCUCUGACUCGGGCACAACUCCGCGAAAGCGGAGAUAAUUCCCGAUGGUCUCGCAAGAGUAAAGGCUUUGAUGCAAAUCAAAGUCGGUGAGAGAGUGGCCUGCGCCCUAUCAGCUAGUUGGUGAGGUAAUGGCUCACCAAGGCUAUGACGGGUAGGGGGCGUGAGAGCGUGUUCCCCAACGAUGGCACUGAGAUACGGGCCCUACUCCUACGGGAGGCUGCAGUCGAGAAUCUUCCACAAUGGGCGAAAGCCUGAUGGAGCGACGCCGCGUGAAUGAAGAAGCCCUUCGGGGUGUAAAGUUCUUUUCUAUCCGAGGAAUUUUGACUUUAGGAUAGGAAUAAGGAGCUGCUAAACUCGUGCCAGCAGCAGCGGUAAUACGAGUGCUCCGAGCGUUGUCCGGAAUUACUGGGCGUAAAGAGUCUGUAGGGGGUUUGAUGCGUCUUUUGUUAAAUCUCAGUGCUCAACACUGGGGCUGCAAGGGAAACGGUCAAACUGGAGGAUGUGAGAGGUUGAUGGAACUCAUAGAGUAGGGGUGAAAUCCGUUGAUACUAUGAGGAACACCAAAGGCGAAGGCAUUCAACUGGCGCAUUCCUGACCCUGAGAGACGAGAGCGUGGGGAGCGAACGGGAUUAGAUACCCCGGUAGUCCACGCCCUAAACGAUGAGUACUGGUUGUCUGAAGUAUCGACCCUUCAGGUGACGAAGCUAACGCGUUAAGUACUCCGCCUGGGAAGUACGGUCGCAAGACUAAAACUCAAAGGAAUAGACGGGAGCUUGCACAAGCGGUGGAGCGUCUGGUUUAAUUCGACGACAAGCGAAGAACCUUACCAGGACUUGAAAUCCUAGUGAAACCCCGAUGAAAGUUGGGACUUCUACAAGGACACUAGGACAGGUGCUGCAUGGUUGUCGUCAGCUUGUGGCGUGAGUUGCUCCGUUAAGUCGGGUAACAAGCGCAACCCCCAUUUCGUGUUACAAGUAUCACGAGAGACUGCCAAGUUUUUCUUGGAGGAAGGUGGGGAUGACGCCAAAUCAGCAUGGCCCUCUGAUGUCCUGGCAACACAGGCGCUACAAUGGCCGGUACAAUGGGUCGCUAAGUCGCAAGAUGGAGCCAAUCCCAUUCAAAGCCGGUCCCAGUUCGGAUUGAGGUCUGCAAUUCGACCUCAUGAAGUCGGAAUCGCUAGUAAUCGCGGAUCAGCUACGCCGCGGUGAAUACGUUCUCAAGCUUUGUACUCACCGCCUGUCACGCCAGAGGAGCCGGGAGCACCCGACAUGUCCCGCAUUGCGGGACCCUAAGGUGAAUUCGGUGACUAGGGCGAAGUCAUAACAAGGCA